GAGGGUGUAGCUCAGUGGUAGAGCAUGUGCUUAGCAUGCACAAGGUCCUGGGUUCAAUCUCCAGUACCUCCG
This 72-nucleotide transfer RNA is filed under the name Camelus bactrianus (Bactrian camel). It matches the Rfam family "tRNA". Rfam says of the family: Transfer RNA (tRNA) molecules are approximately 80 nucleotides in length. RNAcentral also lists the same sequence under 3 other names. The record is from Rfam by way of RNAcentral. Lineage: Eukaryota; Metazoa; Chordata; Mammalia; Artiodactyla; Camelidae.